GGGGAUAUGGCGAAAUCGGUAGACGCUGCGGACUUAAAAUCCGUUGACUUUAAAAAUCGUGAGGGUUCAAGUCCCUCUAUCCCCA
This 85-nucleotide transfer RNA is filed under the name Genlisea violacea. RNAcentral describes it as "tRNA-Leu". It matches the Rfam family "tRNA". From Rfam's summary of the family: Transfer RNA (tRNA) molecules are approximately 80 nucleotides in length. The record is from RNAcentral. Lineage: Eukaryota; Viridiplantae; Streptophyta; Magnoliopsida; Lamiales; Lentibulariaceae.